RNAcentral lists this ribosomal RNA (253 nucleotides) under uncultured bacterium. RNAcentral's name for it is "partial 16S ribosomal RNA". It matches the Rfam family "Bacterial small subunit ribosomal RNA", at positions 524 to 776 of the family's 1533-position model. The record is from RNAcentral.
UACGUAGGGUGCAAGCGUUGUCCGGAAUUAUUGGGCGUAAAGGGCUCGUAGGCGGUCCGUCACGUCGGGAGUGAAAUCCCGGGGCUUAACCCCAGAACUGCUUCCGAUACGGGCAGACUAGAGGUAGGUAGGGGAGAAUGGAAUUCCUGGUGUAGCGGUGGAAUGCGCAGAUAUCAGGAGGAACACCAGUGGCGAAGGCGGUUCUCUGGGCCUUACCUGACGCUGAGGAGCGAAAGCGUGGGGAGCAAACAGG